UACCAAAGUGCUAAUGGCCAUCAGAGCGCUCAAAGAAUUGUUCCCAUCAACCCAUCUCGCAGUAUCGCAGAUAAAUCCUCGAACAACAUGGCGCUAUUCAAGUAAUAAGCGUGCAAUGGCAAAUAUUAGGCGCCGAUUAAAUGGCUUUAUUAAAAAAAAUCAUAUUAGGCGUUUGGGGCUCUUUCAUUCCCCAUACGAUAACGCCAGAACAUUUGAAGUCAGAUGGUGUUCAUUUGAACGUACAAGGCAAUGCGCCUUCGCGACUUAAAGUCCUGUGUGCGCAGUUUGGUAAACAAUUGAAAAUAAAUAUCAUCAGUUUUUGUCAAGUGACUUUCAUGAUAUAUGCUUAUAUACGUUUACGGUAUGCUUUACCGUUCAUGGCAAGUUUGCUGCUGAGAAAUGCGAGGAUCCUUGUUUGUGUUUAUUUUCUGCUGCCAAGCCAAAAUUUCCUUACAGUAUUAAGCAAUUAUUUAAGUGACUUUUAAGAUAAGAAACCCAGUUCUGUUUCGGGUUGUUAACACUUGUUAUUUCCCUAUCCCUAUAUUAAUGGGAGUUCGUUUCAAAUACCUAGAAUCCCACAUUGGCGUUCGGCAGCACUUAAAUUAUGAUGUUUUAUUAUUUAUUAUUAUUUGAAUUAUAUAAAUACAGACAGUAAAGCCCAUUGGGGGCUAUUAAAGCUGCUGCUUGGCCCUUUGGGGCGGUCGCCAGUAAUACGCCAUGUUGGCAGGUGACUAUAUUGCUUCGUUGGAGCCUCGCCAUUAAAUCCGACCCUUAAAUGUAAAUAAAACUAAAUAAAAUUCUGACAAGUUAUUUGUGCUGUUGUUUUAUAGUCAUAUAAGAAGGAAGGUUAUGGUUAUGGUUGAUCUUCGAGUUAGAGAAGCUAAUCGCUUCAAUCAUUCUUGUAAGUUGAUGAUUUAUCGAUAAUACCAGCUAUUAACUAUAUAAUAGCUGUUGUUAUCGAGAAUAGUCAACCCGUUUCAUCCUUUCAAUGUUUACGUUAGCAAUACACAUCUAAUCAUUCUACACAGUCCCGCUUGAAUACGCCCUACAAGAUUACGUAAUCAAAAGAUUCCCGAGCCCGCCAUUUCGUUAAACCGUUGCAUUGGUUAAAACUUAAAAUCAAAUUCAACGCAUGCGCUAAAUCAAGCGCGCAACCACGCCGUUUCACUUUCGUUCAGGCAGUCGAACAGAAAGGCCAGUUUUUAAGGGCUAGGAUUGCUAUUUGAGAAAAAUUCCCUCCCUCCAACCCAUCUGCCGUGCCUUUUGCUUCUUAGCUUUAAUUAGUUUAUAUUUAUGUUCAUGAAUAGCGGCAUAUGUUGCAUUUGUCUGCGCCCGUUUUGCAUAUCUGUUUUCAGCAGAGCUAUAACAUCCAUGGUCGUUUAAAGCCACUACGACGAACUUGUAAAGUCACUGACCACUACGCAAACACAUGUGCACGCUCGUGAGACCAAAACCUUCAUCGAAUGGACAACUCGUGGAGUUACCAACGGCGUGGCUCCUAUUAAUCAAAGCACUGAAAGUGCUGAGGGACGGUGCCUCUGGUGUAUGUGCAGAACAAUCAAUAUACAGGGAGAGCUGCCUGGUUUCAAAAUCGUGUCGUUGUUAUCAACUAUUGACAGUUUGGUUAUUUCAAGAGCCAACUUUCGUCAUGCAUGACUACUUUUUAUGAAUUUGAAUGCAUGUUAAGCAAGCGAUCACUUUGUACGAAGUUGCAUACGAAGAUUUCUGCGACCGUUUUAUUAACGCUUUCGUACGUAAUUACUCUUCAAAAUGGGGAAGGAUCGGACGAAAAUGUAAACAAACCGUAGAUGCAAUCUUUUGAAAGAAAAGCUCAGUCAUCUGAGAUGCAGUGUUGCAGCACUGAAAAGCAUUGGGUGCCCAUCAUAGAGUGUUUCUCUUUGCCUGCAAUCAGGAUACAUCAACUGACCUUUGAACUGUGUUUUCCAACUUGGGAUUCAAACACAUGCCCUCUUGGGUAGGAGAAAGUCACCUGUGGCUAUAUCACUAUACUUCUUCAAGUCUUGCUCUAUGAGUGAUCAUGAUGUGA
Molecule: long non-coding RNA, 2047 nt
Organism: Mya arenaria
Lineage: Eukaryota; Metazoa; Mollusca; Bivalvia; Myida; Myidae
Exons: 3
Source: RefSeq, a predicted model, not a curated record